UAACCUGCGGAGGGAUCAUUACCGAGUUUACAACUCCCAAACCCAUGUGAACAUACCUACUGUUGCUUCGGCGGGAUUGCCCCGGGCGCCUCGUGUGCCCCGGAUCAGGCGCCCGCCUAGGAAACUUAACUCUUGUUUUAUUUUGGAAUCUUCUGAGUAGUUUUUACAAAUAAAUAAAAACUUUCAACAACGGAUCUCUUGGUUCUGGCAUCGAUGAAGAACGCAGCGAAAUGCGAUAAGUAAUGUGAAUUGCAGAAUUCAGUGAAUCAUCGAAUCUUUGAACGCACAUUGCGCCCGCCAGUAUUCUGGCGGGCAUGCCUGUCUGAGCGUCAUUUCAACCCUCAUGCCCCUAGGGCGUGGUGUUGGGGAUCGGCCAAAGCCCGCGAGGGACGGCCGGCCCCUAAAUCUAGUGGCGGACCCGUCGUGGCCUCCUCUGCGAAGUAGUGAUAUUCCGCAUCGGAGAGCGACGAGCCCCUGCCGUUAAACCCCCAACUUUCCAAGGUUGACCUCAGAUCAGGUAGGAAUACCCGCUGAACUUAAGCAUAUCAAUAAGCC
RNAcentral lists this ribosomal RNA (555 nucleotides) under Clonostachys rosea. RNAcentral's name for it is "eukaryotic LSU rRNA". The stretch from base 179 to 332 matches the Rfam family "5.8S ribosomal RNA". The record is from RNAcentral. Lineage: Eukaryota; Fungi; Ascomycota; Sordariomycetes; Hypocreales; Bionectriaceae.